ACAGCAGUCGCCGCGGUAAUACGAAGGGGGCUAGCGUUGUUCGGAUUUACUGGGCGUAAAGCGCACGUAGGCGGAUCGAUCAGUCAGGGGUGAAAUCCCAGAGCUCAACUCUGGAACUGCCUUUGAUACUGUCGAUCUGGAGUAUGGAAGAGGUGAGUGGAAUUCCGAGUGUAGAGGUGAAAUUCGUAGAUAUUCGGAGGAACACCAGUGGCGAAGGCGGCUCACUGGUCCAUUACUGACGCUGAGGUGCGAAAGCGUGGGGAGCAAACAGGAUUAGAUACCCGCGUAGUCCCUGUCUCUUAUAA
RNAcentral lists this ribosomal RNA (305 nucleotides) under uncultured bacterium. RNAcentral describes it as "partial 16S ribosomal RNA". It matches the Rfam family "Bacterial small subunit ribosomal RNA", at positions 508 to 809 of the family's 1533-position model. The record is from RNAcentral.